GGGACCGGGAGAGGUAAGAGGUACUACAGGGGUAGGAGUGGAAAUCUUGUAAUCCCUGUGGGACCACCUGUGGCGAAGGCGUCUUACCAGAACGGGUUCGACGGUGAGGGACGAAAGCUGGGGGGCACGAACCGGAUUAGGAUACCCGGGUAGUCCCAGCCGUAAACGAUGCUCGCUAGGUGUCAGGCAUGGCGCGACCGUGUCUGGUGCCGCAGGGAAGCCGUGAAGCGAGCCACCUGGGAAGUACGGCCGCAAGGCUGAAACUUAAAGGGAAUUGGCGGGGGAGCACAACAACGGGUGGAGCCCUGCGGUUUAAUUGGACUCAACGCCGGACAACUCACCGGGGGCGACAGCAAUAUGUAGGCCAAGCUGAAGACUUUGCCUGAAUCGCUGAGGAGUGGUGCAUGG
Molecule: ribosomal RNA, 408 nt
Filed under: uncultured archaeon
Lineage: Archaea
Description: bacterial SSU rRNA
Rfam family: Archaeal small subunit ribosomal RNA
Source: RNAcentral